RNAcentral lists this ribosomal RNA (692 nucleotides) under Viscosia sp. 1 LM-2017. RNAcentral describes it as "SSU rRNA". It matches the Rfam family "Eukaryotic small subunit ribosomal RNA", at positions 136 to 924 of the family's 1831-position model. Lineage: Eukaryota; Metazoa; Nematoda; Enoplea; Enoplida; Oncholaimidae. The record is from RNAcentral.
UACAUGGAUAACUGUGGUAAUUCUACAGCUAAUACACGCAGGUGGGGUGCGUUUGUUACUUCAAACCAAUUCAAGUGAUAUUGAACAAUUCACGGUCUAAGCACCGGCGACAUAUCCUUCAAAUGUCUGCCUUAUCAACUUUCGAUGGUAGAUUAUGCGCCUACCAUGGUUGUAACGGGUAACGGAGAAUCAGGGUUUGAUUCCGGAGAGGGAGCCUGAGAAACGGCUACCACAUCCAAGGAAGGCAGCAGGCACGCAAAUUACCCACUCCCGGCGGGGAGGUAGUGACGAAAAAUAACAAGCUGGUCUCAAGGCAUUGUAAUGGGAACAAUUUAAAUCAUUUAUCGAGGAUCUAUUGGAGGGCAAGUCUGGUGCCAGCAGCCGCGGUAAUUCCAGCUCCAAUAGCGUAUAUUAAAGUUGUUGCGGUUAAAAAGCUCGUAGUUGGAUCUAGAGGGCUACGGUCGUUCGCUUGGACGCUCCAGUAUUCUAUUGUUGCUCUUAAAUGAGUGACUUAGUUGCUGGAACUUUUACCUUGAAAAAAUUGAAGUGCUCAAAGCAGGUAUUUCCUGAACAUUGCUGCAUGGGAUAAUUGAAUAGGAGGUCCUAUUUUGUUGGUUUCGGGACACGAAAUAAUGAUUAAUAGGGACAGACGGGGGCAUUCGUAUUGCUUCGCUAGAGGUGAAAUUCUUGGA